UCCCGCCGAGAGCCAGAGUGCAAAUCUGGAGGAGCACCCCUAAAGGGUGCCGGGGCUUCUCCCGUUUUAAGCGAGACGGGAGAAGA
This 86-nucleotide transfer RNA is filed under the name Cyrtodactylus cucphuongensis. RNAcentral describes it as "tRNA-Cys". Lineage: Eukaryota; Metazoa; Chordata; Lepidosauria; Squamata; Gekkonidae. The record is from RNAcentral.